This is a non-coding RNA of Bos taurus (domestic cattle), 73 nucleotides long. Lineage: Eukaryota; Metazoa; Chordata; Mammalia; Artiodactyla; Bovidae. The record is from Rfam.
UCCCCGGUAGCUCAGCUGGUAGAGAAUCUGCCUGAAAUGCAGGAGACCUUGGUUCGAUUCCUGAGUCAGGAAA